AGGAUGUAUUUGGCCAUGGCCCGUGGGUACCAACAGUCAUUUCAAAGCCACACGUGUCUGUGACUGAACUCCGUCCUUCCUAAGGAUUUUGCAUAGAAAAGCGGCCCUAAUUUGCAGAUAGGCCAAUGGUUGGGACAUGAAGAAUUCAUCUGCCUAUACUUGAAAUGAUUUCAUGACACUGUCUCACCCACCUGAAGUCAAUUUGCUGCCGCUUCAGAGAGGGGAGUUCCCUAUGGCAAGCUUCAUGAAACAAGGACGACGUGUACAUGUAGCAUGCACAGAAGCAACAUGAGCACUAACAGUGGUCAACCUUCGUACAUCCUACACGAACCUGUCAUUACAGCCAGAGACAUCCACGCAACAUGCAUUGCGACAAGGACAGGCCGAGACUUCAGACACUACUGGUUCUAGGUCCAUGCAACAUCCAGUGCACAAUGUCUACCUGCAGCACUGGGCUACAUGAAAGCUGCUGUAUGUACAACAGCUGUGCAACAGCUGACAAAUACCUGAAGGAUGAGCCACACUGGAAUCAGCCACAUCAGCUAUGCCUCGUGUACUUGCCCCUAAAGACUUCAGCCAUCACAGAAACCUGUCAUCUUGGUGGAACCCUCACAGUCUGUUGUCACAGACUCUAACUUCAGCCCCAUCAUCAGUUCGUCUGCUCAGUGACCUGAGCUGCAAAGUAGUCAUACCCCUAAGAGGUUGUGACAUGCGUUUACGUACCUCCUCGACAUCAUUGGAAUCCACAUCACUUGUGCAUCAACUGCGGGGUACCUGAUCUCUAAAACUUCACCAGUGCACCAAUUCAUGGAAGAGUAUCUUCUGAGUUUGUAGGAUGUCACUGUAGUGCUGAACAUUACUUGUGUUUAUCUACCGAUCAUCUCACUUAUUGGAAGACUCGAGUUUUGCAUAUCUCUGAAUUGUAUUCCAGAGUUCUCAUCAUCCAUGGCUUGAGUCCACCACACCAGCAGUGCUUCAAGGAAUCGACUUCUCAAGACUCAAGUAAUUGCAGGAAGCCUUGUCAUUUUACAUGCUGUGUUAUGCAACUGAAAGACAUCUCUGGAGGCCACCACAUCAGCAGUGUACUUUCUACUUGACUUGAAUCUAUAUGUCUUAAAUUUCUUUCCCUGGCCACCAACCUUCAUCCCUUCGACUCCUCGAGAGUGAUUGUGCAUCAAAGUUGAGAGAUUCAAUCCGUCCCCAUGCAAUAAAAUUAGACUCUUUAGAUUUAAGUCAUGCAUGACUUGUACAUUUGCUGAAAUGAAUAUGCACGUGUUGUACAUGUACGUGUAUGCCAAUGUCUGGACGAUGUGUGAGGCUGCUGUACAUGCAGGGGACUUCUUGAAAGCCGUGAUAAAUCCAACAUGAGUUCCAGCAUGGGACGGCUCAUGGUGUUAUGCGUGACAUGCAUUCUAGGAAUUGCUGAACUGCGCCGCUGGAUGCACCAUUAAUCAGUCAGUCACACCUGUCAACUCGUCGAUAUUGAUCAAUCCGCCCUCCUUUGCCCAUUCCUUUUUGUUCUCUUGAACCUUGCACGAGCUGCUACUUGCACCUGUGACUGUUGAGGGGCCUACUGCAAGCCCCCCUGUGGAUCCGUUGUUAACUUCUGUAUGUACCAUUCAUUGGACAUCCUGUGACUUUCCUUGAGAUGAGACAUCCUGGCUGUCUUGGGCCAGGAGAGGUUGCCCGUCGUCGUGUUGAUGACAUCAGUACAAGAACAAUGAACUAUGCACUCUGAUGAAUAAUUGAACUCUGAACUGCUUUGAUAAAGCAUUUGGAACAGUGGCAAGACAGACCCAAGCCUCACAGAAUGCUGUCUUUCAAAGUUGGAAGCAGCUGAAUUUCAUGUGUGCGUUGCAGAGAUGAAAACUUCAAAAGUAUUCUUUUAAUAACAGGAAAAAAGUCCCGAUCAAAAGUCUUACCUCUUUGAUGAACCAAAUUUUGAAAUUUCUGAAGAUAUACUUCAGUUUCUGCAUCCUGCCAUUACAGAUUUUCAAAAUAGUUUUGUGUAACAGGGAAAACAAUCCUGAAUUUCCACAAUUUCAUGAAACUGGAAGUUGGAAAUCAAAGAGCAUUUCUGUGAGGGCCCGUGGUCUGAGUUCAAGUAGGAUAAAGCAUUUUGAGUAUUGCCUGUUGGAUGCUGGGUACUGGAUUGUUUUGAUGGGCAUGUAUUGAGCAGAACACAUGCU
This 2189-nucleotide long non-coding RNA is filed under the name Acanthaster planci (crown-of-thorns starfish). RNAcentral describes it as "uncharacterized LOC110975852". Lineage: Eukaryota; Metazoa; Echinodermata; Asteroidea; Valvatida; Acanthasteridae. The record is from RNAcentral.